AUUGAACGCUGGCGGCAGGCCUAAUACAUGCAAGUCGAGCGGAGUGGCGGACGGGCGAGUAAUGCCUAGGAAUAUGCCUGGUAUAGGGGGAUAACGUCAGGAAACGGGCGCUAAUAUCGCACACUAUCAGAUGAGCCUAGGACGGAUUAGCUAGUUGGUGGGGUAAAGGCCUACCAAGGCGACGAUCCGAAACUGGUCUGAGAGGCUGAUCAGUCACACUGGAACUGAGACACGGUCCAGACUCCUACGGGAGGCAGCAGUGGGGAAUAUUGGGCAAUGGGCGAAAGCCUGAUGCAGCCAUGCCGCGUGUGUGAAGAAGGUCUUCGGAUUGUAAAGCUCUUUAAGUUGGGAGGCGUUACCAACAGAGUAAGCACCGGCUAACUUCGUGCCAGCAGCCGCGGUAAUUC
RNAcentral lists this ribosomal RNA (407 nucleotides) under uncultured bacterium. RNAcentral's name for it is "partial 16S ribosomal RNA". It matches the Rfam family "Bacterial small subunit ribosomal RNA", at positions 30 to 526 of the family's 1533-position model. The record is from RNAcentral.